AGCUCUGUAAGCGUAUACCAAAGUUGUUGCAGUUAAAACGCUCGUAGUCGAACCUUGGCGUGAGUUACGGAGACUCCUAAUGGACGUUGAAGUAACUCCGCCUUUGUGGAGGGGGGUGUGGUGGUACUUUAUUGUAUUGCUGCACUUCCGCCACUGUUUACUGUGAAAAAAUUAGAGUGUUCAAAGCGAGCGUUUGCCAUGAAUACAUUAGCAUGGAAUAAUAGAAUAGGACCUGAUCCUGUUUUAUUGGUUUGUCUGUAUCAGGUAAUGAUUAACAGGGACGGUCGGGGGCAUUUGUAUUCCAGCGUUAGAGGUGAAAUUCUUGGAUCGCUGGAAGACAAACAGCUGCGAAAGCGUCUGCCAAGGACGUUUUCAU
RNAcentral lists this ribosomal RNA (376 nucleotides) under uncultured eukaryote. RNAcentral's name for it is "SSU rRNA". It matches the Rfam family "Eukaryotic small subunit ribosomal RNA", at positions 587 to 973 of the family's 1831-position model. The record is from RNAcentral.